This 497-nucleotide ribosomal RNA is filed under the name uncultured bacterium. Its description in RNAcentral is "partial 16S ribosomal RNA". It matches the Rfam family "Bacterial small subunit ribosomal RNA", at positions 28 to 507 of the family's 1533-position model. The record is from RNAcentral.
GAUGAACGCUGGCGGCGUGCCUAAUACAUGCAAGUCGAGCGAACAGAUAAGGAGCUUGCUCCUUUGACGUUAGCGGCGGACGGGUGAGUAACACGUGGGUAACCUACCUAUAAGACUGGGAUAACUUCGGGAAACCGGAGCUAAUACCGGAUAACAUUUGGAACCGCAUGGUUCUAAGGUGAAAGAUGGUUUUGCUAUCACUUAUAGAUGGACCCGCGCCGUAUUAGCUAGUUGGUAAGGUAACGGCUUACCAAGGCGACGAUACGUAGCCGACCUGAGAGGGUGAUCGGCCACACUGGAACUGAGACACGGUCCAGACUCCUACGGGAGGCAGCAGUAGGGAAUCUUCCGCAAUAGGCGAAAGCCUGACGGAGCAACGCCGCGUGAGUGAUGAAGGGUUUCGGCUCGUAAAACUCUGUUAUUAGGGAAGAACAAAUGUGUAAGUAACUGUGCACGUCUUGACGGUACCUAAUCAGAAAGCCACGGCUAACUACGUG